AUACGUAGGGGGCGAGCGUUGUCCGGAAUUAUUGGGCGUAAAGGGCGUGUAGACGGUCAUAUAAGUUACAGGUGAAAGCCCAUUUUUCAAGGAUGGAACUGCCUGUAAGACUGUAAGACUUGAGUGCAGGAGAGGGAAGCGGAAUUCCAAGUGUAGCGGUGAAAUGCGUAGAUAUCAGGAGGAACACCGGUGGCGAAGGCGGCUUACUGGGCUUUUACUGACGCUGAGGCUCGAAAGCGUGGGGAGCAAACAGGAUUAGAUACCCUGGUAGUCCACGCUGUAAACGAUGAUUACUAGGUGUGGGGGGACUGACCCCUUCCGUGCCGCAGUUAACACAAUAAGUAAUCCACCUGGGGAGUACGGCCGCAAGGUUGAAACUCAAAUGAAUUGACGGGG
This 396-nucleotide ribosomal RNA is filed under the name uncultured bacterium. RNAcentral's name for it is "partial 16S ribosomal RNA". It matches the Rfam family "Bacterial small subunit ribosomal RNA", at positions 523 to 918 of the family's 1533-position model. The record is from RNAcentral.